GAAAAUUAGUAAAAUAUAGAAAAGAAAAAAAACUAAACUAUUGCAUAAUUUCUCUACUUAAAAUAAUCACUGUUGACAUGAUGGCUAUUUUCUGCCAGUAUAUAUUUUCUUUUUGCUAGUAAAAUACAUAGCCCUUAUACAUAUAUUUAAGUGGUUGAGGUCGCUGGGCACAGUGGCACAUGUCUGUAAUCCCAGCUACUCGGGGGGCUGAGGUGGGAGGAUCACUUGAGCCCAGGAAGCAGAGGUUGCAGUGAUUCUCCUGCCUCAGCUUCCCAAGUAGCUGGGAUUACAGGCAUG
Molecule: long non-coding RNA, 297 nt
Filed under: Callithrix jacchus (white-tufted-ear marmoset)
Lineage: Eukaryota; Metazoa; Chordata; Mammalia; Primates; Cebidae
Description: lncRNA (ENSCJAG00000079771.1)
Source: RNAcentral